GCAGUCGAGCGGUAGCACAGAGAAGCUUGCUUCUUGGGUGACGAGCGGCGGACGGGUGAGUAAUGCAUAGGAAUCUGCCCGAUAGUGGGGGAUAACCUGGGGAAACCCAGGCUAAUACCGCAUACGUCCUACGGGAGAAAGGGGGCUCCGGCUCCCGCUAUGGGAUGAGCCUAUGUCGGAUUAGCUAGUUGGUGAGGUAAAGGCUCACCAAGGCAACGAUCCGUAGCUGGUCUGAGAGGAUGAUCAGCCACAUCGGGACUGAGACACGGCCCGAACUCCUACGGGAGGCAGCAGUGGGGAAUAUUGGACAAUGGGCGCAAGCCUGAUCCAGCCAUGCCGCGUGUGUGAAGAAGGCCCUCGGGUUGUAAAGCACUUUCAGCGAGGAAGAACGCCUAGCGGUUAAUACCCGCUAGGAAAGACAUCACUCGCAGAAGAAGCACCGGCUAACUCCGUGCCAGCAGCCGCGGUAAUACGGAGGGUGCAAGCGUUAAUCGGAAUUACUGGGCGUAAAGCGCGCGUAGGUGGCUUGAUAAGCCGGUUGUGAAAGCCCCGGGCUCAACCUGGGAACGGCAUCCGGAACUGUCAAGCUAGAGUGCAGGAGAGGAAGGUAGAAUUCCCGGUGUAGCGGUGAAAUGCGUAGAGAUCGGGAGGAAUACCAGUGGCGAAGGCGGCCUUCUGGACUGACACUGACACUGAGGUGCGAAAGCGUGGGUAGCAAACAGGAUUAGAUACCCUGGUAGUCCACGCCGUAAACGAUGUCGACCAGCCGUUGGGUGCCUAGCGCACUUUGUGGCGAAGUUAACGCGAUAAGUCGACCGCCUGGGGAGUACGGCCGCAAGGUUAAAACUCAAAUGAAUUGACGGGGGCCCGCACAAGCGGUGGAGCAUGUGGUUUAAUUCGAUGCAACGCGAAGAACCUUACCUACUCUUGACAUCCUGCGAAUUCGGUAGAGAUACCUUAGUGCCUUCGGGAACGCAGAGACAGGUGCUGCAUGGCUGUCGUCAGCUCGUGUUGUGAAAUGUUGGGUUAAGUCCCGUAACGAGCGCAA
Molecule: ribosomal RNA, 1048 nt
Filed under: Vreelandella aquamarina
Lineage: Bacteria; Pseudomonadati; Pseudomonadota; Gammaproteobacteria; Oceanospirillales; Halomonadaceae
Description: bacterial SSU rRNA
Rfam family: Bacterial small subunit ribosomal RNA
Source: RNAcentral